AGGUGCCUCUUCAGCCGUUGAUUCUUCAGGUUUCUCUUCAAGUGCUAGUUCUUCAGGUGUUUCCUCCUUUGCCAGCUCUUCAGGUGUUUCUUUAGAUGCCGAUUCUUCAGGUUUCUCUUCAGCCAUCGGUUCUUGAGGUAUUUCCUCUACUUGUACUUCAUAUUUCUCCUCAAUUGUUUGUUCUUCAGGUUUCUCUUCAGGUUUCUCCUUAACCACUGGUACAUCAGGUUUCUCUUGAUUAACUGGUUCUUUGGGUUUUUCUUCAACAGCCGAAUCUUCAGGAUUUUCCUCAAUGUCUUGAAAGCAAGCAAUAUCUUUAGUGGUAUUGCAUGGAAUUUCACUGCCAGUUUUGUUGUUCGAGUCUACAAUUAGCAUAUUCUGCAAAAGGAAUUUGAUGUUUCAUUUAGCCUUUUAAUAAAGAAGCAGAUGUGAAUAACAUUACAUGCAUAACUUACAAAAUGGAUAAAUUUUGUGACAGUCCUUGACCCUUACCUUUUCAGGUUUCUCCUCUUCAACAGCUGAUUCUUCAUGUUUCUCUUCAAAUGCUAGUUCUCUGGGUGUUUCUUCCCGUAGUGCUUCUUCAUGUGCUUCUUCAGUUACUGGUUUUUCAGGUUUCUCCUCAAUUGUUGGUUCUUUGAUUGUCUCCUCAACAGAUGGUUCUUCAAGCUUCUCUCCCGUUGUUGAUUUUUCUGGUUUCUCUUCAAUUGCUGGUUGUUCAGGAAUUUUCUCAACAGCUGGUUCUUCUGGCUUCUCUAAAACCAUUGAUUCUUCAGCUUUCUCUUCAAUUGAUGGUUCUUCAUGGUUUUUUUCAACUAUUGGUUCUUCAGUUUUUUCCUCAACGGAUGCAUAGUCAACAAUAUCAUUGUUGGUAUUGCUUGGAAUUGCAUCGUCUGUCAUGUCCUUUGAGUUUACUUUUGGCAUAUUCUACAAUAAAGUUUCAUGUAGUCUUUCAAUAGAUAAACAGAUGUAAAUUUGUUGCAACAUAUAAAGCUAAUAUGGUGGAUAAACUUUGUGACAGUGUUUAAUCCUCACCUUCUCCCGAAGAUCUUCCGCUUUAAGUUCCUCCUCUUCAAUUGCUGUUUUUUCAUCUUUCGUUUCAACAACUAGUUCUUCAGGUGCCUCUUCAGCCGUUGAUUCUUCAGGUUUUUCUUCAAGUGCCAGCUCUUCAGGUGUUUCCUCCUUUGCCAUCUCUUCAGGUGUUUCCUCCUUUGCCAGCUCUUCAGGUGUUUCUUUAGCUGCUGGUUCUUCAGGUUUCUCUUCAGCCGCCAGUUCUUGAGGUAUCUCCUUUUCUACUUCAGAUUUCUCCUCAACUGUUGGUUCUUCAGGUUUCUCUUCAUUAACUGGUUCUUUGGGUUUUUCUUCAACAGCCGAAUCUUCAGGAUUUUCCUCAAUGUCUGGAAAGUGAGCAACAUCUUUAUUGGUAUUGCAUGCAAUUUCACUGUCAGUUUUGUCGUUCAAGUCUACAAUUAGCAUAUUCUGCAAAAAGAAUUUGAUGUUUCAUUUAGCCUAUUAAUAAAGAAGCAGAUGUGAAUAACAUUACAUGCAUAACUUACAAAAUGGAUAAACUUUGUGAUGGUCCUUGACCCUUACCUUUCCAGGCUUCUCCUCUUCAACGGCCAGUUCUUGUUUCUCUUCAAAUGCUAGUUCCCUGGGUGUUUCUUCCUGUAUUGGUUCUUCAUGUGCUUCUUCAGGUACUGGUUUUUCAGGUUUCUCCUCAAUUGUUGGUUCUUCGAUUGUCUCCUCAACAGAUGGUUCUUCAAGGUUCUCUCCCGUUGUUGAGUCUUCUGGUUUCUCUUCAAUUGCUGGUUGUUCAGAAAUUUUCUCAACAGCUGGUUCUUCUGGCUUCUCCAAAACCAUUGAUUCUUCAGCUUUCUCUUCAAUUAAAGGUUCUUCAUGGUUUUUUUCAACUACUGUUUCUUCAGUUUUUUCCUCAACGGAUGCAUAGUCAACAACAUCAUUGUUGGUAUUGCUUGGAAUUGCAUCGUCUGUCAUGUCCUUUGAGCUUACUUUUGGCAUAUUCUGCAAUAAAGUUUCAUGUAGUCUUUCAAUAGAUAAACAGAUGUAAAUUUGUUGCACAUAUAAAGCCAAUAUGGUGGAUACACUUUGUGACAGUGUUUAAUCCUCACCUUCUCCUGAAGAUCUUCCGCUUCAAGUUCUUCCUCUUCAAUUGCUGUUUUUUCAUCUCUCUCUUCAACAACUUGUUCUUCAGGUGCCUCUUCAGCCGUUGAUUCUUCAGGUUUCUCUUCAAGCACUAGUUCUUCAGGUGUUUCCUCCUUUGCCAGCUCUUCAGGUGUUUCUUUAGCUGCCAGUUCUUCAGGUUUCUCUUCAGCUGCCGAUUCUUGAGGUAUUUCCUUUACCUGUACUUUAGAUUUCUCCUCAAAUGUUGGUUCUUCAGGUUUCUCCUUAACCGCAGGUACAUCAGGUUUCUCUUCAGCUGCUGGUUUUUGAGGUUUCUCCUCUACUUGUACCUCGGAUUUCUCCUCAACCAUCGGUUCUUCAGGUUUCUCCUCAACCUCUGGUACGUCAGGUUUCUCUUCAUUAACAAGUUCUUCACUUUUUUCUUCAAUAGUUGAUUCUUCAGGAUUUUCCUUAGUGUCUGGAGAGUAAGCAACAUCAUUAUUGGUAUUGCAUGGAAUUUCACUGCCAGUUGUGUCGUUCGACUCUACCAUUGGCAUAUUCUGCAGAAAGAAUUUAAUGUUUCACUUUGCCUUUCAAUAAAGAAGCCGAUGUAAAUCAGAGGACAUACAUAACUAAAAAAGAUGGAUUAACUUUGUGAUAGUGUUUGACUCUUACCUUUUCGAAAAGAGUUAUCUUUUCAGGUUUCUCCUCUUCAACUGUUGGUUCUUCAUGUUUCUCUUCAAAUGCUAGUUCCUCAGGUGUUUCUUCCUGUAUUGGUUCCUCAGGUGUUUCUUCUUCUGUUACUUGCUUUUCAGGUUUCUCCUCAAUUGUUGGUUCUUUGAUUGUCUCCCCAAUCGAUGGUUCUUCAAGCUUUCCCCCCCCUGUUGGUUUUUCAGGUUUCUCUUCAAUUUUCGGUUGUUCAGGUAUUUUCUCAACUGCCGGUUCUUCUGCCUUCUCCAACACCAUUGAUUCUUCAGAUUCCUCUUCAAUUGAUGAUUCUUCAUGGGUUUUUUUAACUACUGACUCUUCUGUGUUUUCCUCAACUGAUGCAUAAUCAGCAAUGUCGUUGUCGGUAUUGCUUGGAAUUGCAUUGUCUAUCUUGUCCUUUGAGUUUAAUUUUGGCAUAUUCUGCAAUAAAGUUUCAUGUAGUCUUUCAAUAGAUAAACAGAUGUAAAUUUGUUGCACUCAUAAAGCUAAUAUGAUGGAUAAAAUUUGUGACAGUGUUUAAUCCUCACCUUCUCCUGAAAAACUUCUGUUUCAAGUUCCUCCUCUUCAAUUGCUGCUUUUUCAUCUUUCUUCUCUACAACUAAUUCUUCAGGUUCCUCCUCAACGGUUGAUUCUUCAGGCUUUUCUUCAAGUACUAGUUCUUCAGGUGUUUCCUCCUUUGCUAGCUCUUCAGGUGUUCCUUUAGCUGCCGGUUCUUCUGGCUUCUCUUCAGCCUCCGGUUUUUGAGAUAUCUCCUCUACUUGAACUUUAGAUUUCUCAUUAAUUGUUGGUUCUUCAGGUUUCACCUCAACCGCUGGUACAUCAGAUUUCUCCUCAUUAACUGGUUCUUCAGGUUUUUCUUCAACAGCCAAUUCUUCAGGAAUUUCCUCAAUGUCUGGAAAGUGAACAACAUUAUUCUUCGUAUUGCAUGGAAUUUCACUGCCACUGUUGUCGUUCGAGUCUAUAAUUAGCAUAUUCUGCAUAAAGAAUUCAAUGUUUUACUUAGCCUUUCAAUAAAGAAGCAGGUGUGAAUCACAAUACAUGCAUAUCUAACAAAAUGGAUAAACUUUGUGAUAGUGCUUGGCCCUUACCUUUUCUAAAAGAGUUUCCUUUUCAGGUUUCUCCUCUUCGAUGGCUGGUUCUUCAUGUUUCUCUUCAAAUGGUAGUUCAUUUGGUGUUUCUUCUCGUGUUGGUUCUUCAGGUGCUUCCUCAGUUACUGGUUUUACAGGUUUCUCUUCAACUGUUAGUUCUUCGAGUGUCUCCUCCAUCGAUGGUUCCUCAAGUUUCUCUCUUGCUGCUGGUUUUUCAGAUUUAUCUUCAACUAUCGGUUGUUCAGGUUUAUUCUCAAUCGCUGGUUCUGCAGGCUUCUCCGAAACCGCUGAUUCUUCAGAUUUCUCUUCAAUUGGUGAUUCUUCGUGUUUUUUUUCAACUACGGGUUCUUCAGUUUUUUCCUCAACUGAUGCAUAAUCAGCACUAUCAUUGUUGGUAUUGCAUGGAGUUGCAUUUUCUGUCUUGUUCUUUGAGCCUACAAUUGGUGAAUUCUGCAAAAAAUUUAAAAUUUCAUUUAGUCUUUAAAUAGAUAAACAGAUGUAAAUUCAUUGCACAUAUAAAGCUAAUAUGAUAGAUAAACUUUGUGACAGUGUUUAAUCUUCACCUUCUCCUGAAGAGCUUCCAUUUCUAGUUCCUCCUCUUCACUUGCUGGUUUUUCAUCUUUCUCUUCAACAACUAGUUCUUCAGGUGUCUUUAUAGUCUUUGAUUCUUCAGGUGCUUCUUUAUCUGCCCGUUCUUCAGGUUUCUCUUCAGCCACCGGUUCUUGAGGUAUAUUCUCUUGUACUUCAGAUCUCUCCUCAAUUAUUGGUUCUGCAGGUUUCUCUUCAUUGUCUGGUUCUUUGGGUUUUUCUUCGACAGCCAAUUCUUCAAGAUGAUUUUCCUCAAUGUCUGGAAAGUGAGCAACAUCAUUAUUGGUAUUGCAUGGAAUUUCACUGUCAGUUUUGUCGUUCAAGUCUACAAUUAGC
Molecule: long non-coding RNA, 4838 nt
Filed under: Capsicum annuum
Lineage: Eukaryota; Viridiplantae; Streptophyta; Magnoliopsida; Solanales; Solanaceae
Description: long non-coding RNA (CANN_LNC003850)
Source: RNAcentral